Long non-coding RNA from Thalassophryne amazonica, 804 nucleotides. RefSeq lists it as uncharacterized. Lineage: Eukaryota; Metazoa; Chordata; Actinopteri; Batrachoidiformes; Batrachoididae. The transcript is spliced from 2 exons. The record is from RefSeq and is a predicted model, not a curated record.
GAAUACACACAUUUUACACAGAACAUUUUAGACAGCAAGGAUGUGUUUAUUAAAUAAGAUUUUUGGUCCAGACAUUUUAUUAAAAAAAAAAAAAAAAGGCUCGACAGUCAUCAAAGUGCAUCAUUGUUCACUAACUAAAAAAAAAAAAAGCAUGCCGUGAAUUAAAAAAAAAGGCAACAGGAACUGAACAAUUUGAAAUGAUGUAGUUAAUUCAGAUAUAUACAAAUUGUUGUUAUGCAGGUGUUAAUAAUGCAGAACAAUUUGGGCUCUGAUGCUUUACUUAGGAAAAAGAACGAGGUUAAAAUGAUGUAGUUUUGGUUCUAUUAGAGUGCAGAUUGAUUUCGUCAUUACUGACAGCUUAACAAGCUUCCAGCAGUGACAAAAUUUAGGGUUUUUUGUUUGUUUUUUGCAAAAUUAAAUAUCAGUUGUUUGUGCAUUUGUUAGAUUUGACUCUUUCCACUGAGCACUUCUGUUGUGUUGCUACUACUUGUGUUGCAUUGUGAAAUGAUGCAAACCAUUUCUGUGUUUGGGUGCACUGUGUGAAUUUGCAGCAACUAUAUUAUCAAAUUAAAUUGUUGCAUGUGCUGCAAGGUUAUAUUUGUUUGUAUUCUCUGUGUUUUUCAAGCUCAUUUUUUUUCCCAAUUUGCAAGUUUUUUUUGUUUUUUUUUGCCAGUUUUCUGCUUUUGCCGGUGUUGCCUAAAUUUGUAAGUGUCAUGGCACCUGUAGGCCACUGGGUGGGCAUGGAUUAUUUUAGCAGAAUACCACGAGACAUAUCUCACAUGUUGCACAUUCUCAUCAAAGUAU